Molecule: ribosomal RNA, 253 nt
Filed under: uncultured bacterium
Lineage: Bacteria
Description: partial 16S ribosomal RNA
Rfam family: Bacterial small subunit ribosomal RNA
Source: RNAcentral
UACGUAGGGUGCAAGCGUUGUCCGGAAUUAUUGGGCGUAAAGAGCUCGUAGGCGGUCUGUCACGUCGGCUGUGAAAUCCCGAGGCUCAACCUCGGGUCUGCAGUCGAUACGGGCAAACUAGAGUAUUGCAGGGGAGACUGGAAUUCCUGGUGUAGCGGUGAAAUGCGCAGAUAUCAGGAGGAACACCGGUGGCGAAGGCAGGUCUCUGGGCCACUACUGACGCUGAGAAGCGAAAGCAUGGGGAGCGAACAGG